ACAAGCGGUGGAGCAUGUGGUUAAGUCGAAGCAACGCGAAGAACCUUACCAGGCCUUGACAUGCAGAGAACUUUCCAGAGAUGGAUUGGUGCCUUCGGGAACUCUGACACAGGUGCUGCAUGGCUGUCGUCAGCUUGUGUCGUGAGAUGUUGGGUUAAGUCCCGUAACGAGCGCAACCCUUGUCCUUAGUUACCAGCACGUUAUGGUGGGCACUCUAAGGAGACUGCCGGUGACAAACCGGAGGAAGGUGGGGAUGACGUCAAGUCAUCAUGGCCCUUACGGCCUGGGCUACACACGUGCUACAAUGGUCGGUACAAAGGGUUGCCAAGCCGCGAGGUGGAGCUAAUCCCAUAAAACCGAUCGUAGUCCGGAUCGCAGUCUGCAACUCGACUGCGUGAAGUCGGAAUCGCUAGUAAUCGUGAAUCAGAAUGUCACGGUGAAUACGUUCCCGGGCCUU
This 457-nucleotide ribosomal RNA is filed under the name uncultured Pseudomonas sp. Its description in RNAcentral is "bacterial SSU rRNA". It matches the Rfam family "Bacterial small subunit ribosomal RNA", at positions 925 to 1382 of the family's 1533-position model. The record is from RNAcentral. Lineage: Bacteria; Pseudomonadati; Pseudomonadota; Gammaproteobacteria; Pseudomonadales; Pseudomonadaceae.